RNAcentral lists this long non-coding RNA (1184 nucleotides) under Canis lupus familiaris (dog). RNAcentral describes it as "lncRNA (ENSCAFG00845006838.1)". Lineage: Eukaryota; Metazoa; Chordata; Mammalia; Carnivora; Canidae. The record is from RNAcentral.
UUUUUUUUUAGUUUUGAUGUGGGUCCUAACCUAACAAGUGUUUUGCUAAAACCACCAUAAACGUUAAAACUAGUAACUGCCAGUGUUCUUUAGGAUUUUACAAAGUGAGAUGUUCCAGGUUGGAGCUACUGUUUCCUUUGAUUGCAAACGCAUUCCCACAAGUGCUUCUCAGGCCAUGUUCAAUCUCGCUUACCCGUAAGGACCAAGAUUCCACUACAUGUACGUACUCUGAUUUGCCCUGAUUCAAUGCCCCAGGAUUGGAGCUUUUAGGCUAGAUGUGCCUGCACAGGAAGCAGUUUUCAAUUCUUUUUCACGACUUACACCAGAACAAAGAAGCCAUAAGAAAGUUGCUGUGUGCCAAACCUGCGAGGAAAACCCUUAACGUACAAGAGCAACUACUUAUUUUUCCACCUCUGCAGAUUUUGUUUUUAAAAAUCAAGCUACUUCGUAGUAAAAAGUCAAAAAUUUUUUGUAUGAUAGAGGAGUGUAAAUAAAGUUCCAUAAACCAGUAUACAUGUUUAUGAGCCAGUAAUUUUAAAAAGACAAAAAAAAAAAAAAAAGCUGCAUGAAUCCUAAGUGGAUAUGUAAAUAAAUCCACUCCAGGUCAGAGAUAUUCUAAGAACAAGUCUUAAAUUCUUAAUAUAGCAAGGUUUAGAAUGAAAAUCAGAAACUGAAUGGCAGCAAUGCUAGCAGGCAGUACGGUACUCCACAUUACUUCCUACAAGAGACAGAGGAGGGGAAAAUGCACAAUUCUGAUUACUCUUUUCACAUUUCAGCAUCUCAGAACUUCAAGGAAAGCAGGGAAAGCUAAUCUAGAAACUCCCUCUGCUCAUUAUCAUUGCUGAAGAAUGUUUUGGGAAUGACAGAUUCCCUCCUCCAGGGCCAGGCUGGGUGCCAGAGAGCCCCACUCUCCCAAGCAGACUGGCUUAGUGAGGAAGUUUGACUAAAGUCAGCAAGCAAGUGGCCUCUGAGGUUCUGGCUUCAGAGUCUGGCACUGUGGAGAACCAGUGUGUGAGGGGAUUCCAGACCCCUCUCCCUAUGGGUUGUGUUGGUUACGAAUGCUAGCACUUCAGUCAUUUAAAAACCAAGACCUCCUCCUCUCUCCCACCCAACUGCAGGAAAGGAGAAAAUCAUUAAGCAUUUAUUUUUAGGUUUCUGCAGUGCUAUUAAAAGUUCAAUCAGAU